This 342-nucleotide ribosomal RNA is filed under the name Triticum aestivum (bread wheat). Its description in RNAcentral is "partial small subunit ribosomal RNA". Lineage: Eukaryota; Viridiplantae; Streptophyta; Magnoliopsida; Poales; Poaceae. The record is from RNAcentral.
AUGUACCCUGUAGCUUGGGCUGUAGUCGAAAAAGAAACAUAUCAGUCCUGGUUCUAGUUUGUUGAGAAGUUAAACAGAGACCUCAAAAUCAGCAAUCAAGGGGAUGGGUGGGUGUUCAUCUCAGAUCAGCAAAAAGGACUAAUAGGGGCUAUAGAGGAUAUUCUUCCAAAAGCAGAACACAAGAUGUGUGCAAGGCACAUUUACUCAAACUGGAAGAAAAAACAUAAUGACAAAGAUUUGCAAAAGAGAUUCUGGAGAUGUGCAAAGGCUCCUAACAGGCUCUGUUCAACUAUAACAGAGCAAGGUUGGCUCAAUUCACGGUUGAAGGAGCAAAGGACAUGA